GAAGCUUGCUUCUCUGAUGUUAGCGGCGGACGGGUGAGUAACACGUGGAUAACCUACCUAUAAGACUGGGAUAACUUCGGGAAACCGGAGCUAAUACCGGAUAAUAUUUUGAACCGCAUGGUUCAAAAGUGAAAGACGGUCUUGCUGUCACUUAUAGAUGGAUCCGCGCUGCAUUAGCUGGUUGGUAAGGUAACGGCUUACCAAGGCAACGAUGCAUAGCCGACCUGAGAGGGUGAUCGGCCACACUGGAACUGAGACACGGUCCAGACUCCUACGGGAGGCAGCAGUAGGGAAUCUUCCGCAAUGGGCGAAAGCCUGACGGAGCAACGCCGCGUGAGUGAUGAAGGUCUUCGGAUCGUAAAACUCUGUUAUUAGGGAAGAACAUAUGUGUAAGUAACUGUGCACAUCUUGACGGUACCUAAUCAGAAAGCCACGGCUAACUACGUGCCAGCAGCCGCGGUAAUACGUAGGUGGCAAGCGUUAUCCGGAAUUAUUGGGCGUAAAGCGCGCGUAGGCGGUUUUUUAAGUCUGAUGUGAAAGCCCACGGCUCAACCGUGGAGGGUCAUUGGAAACUGGAAAACUUGAGUGCAGAAGAGGAAAGUGGAAUUCCAUGUGUAGCGGUGAAAUGCGCAGAGAUAUGGAGGAACACCAGUGGCGAAGGCGACUUUCUGGUCUGUAACUGACGCUGAUGUGCAAAAGCGUGGGGAUCAAACAGGAUUAGAUACCCUGGUAGUCCACGCCGUAAACGAUGAGUGCUAAGUGUUAGGGGGUUUCCGCCCCUUAGUGCUGCAGCUAACG
This 798-nucleotide ribosomal RNA is filed under the name uncultured Staphylococcus sp. Its description in RNAcentral is "bacterial SSU rRNA". It matches the Rfam family "Bacterial small subunit ribosomal RNA", at positions 75 to 857 of the family's 1533-position model. The record is from RNAcentral. Lineage: Bacteria; Bacillati; Bacillota; Bacilli; Caryophanales; Staphylococcaceae.